Dendrobium catenatum is the source of this 2342-nucleotide RNA transcript. It is a transcript of the gene named cytochrome c biogenesis protein CCS1, chloroplastic, with no coding region annotated. The record is from RefSeq and is a predicted model, not a curated record. The transcript is spliced from 9 exons. NCBI's taxonomy places the organism in Eukaryota, Viridiplantae, Streptophyta, Magnoliopsida, Asparagales, Orchidaceae.
CUGCAUCCUUUGAGCUCAUAGGCUUAUCCAAAUCCUUCUACUUUGUCUCUGGCCGUUCCCUCCAAUGCAUCCAGUUAGCCGCUAAUCAGUUCUGAAGCUAUGCCUUCCUCCACACUUCAGCUACUCGUGUAUCUUCCUCCAGUAAACCCUGCAACAAACCUAGAAGAUGCCCCAUCAACCAAAUCCCUCUUCUCUGUUCUUCUCCGACCAACUGCAAAACGUCCUUCUCCGCUCUCCUACACUGCUCGUUUUCUCACUCAAAGGUCGCGCCUUGCUAUCCGGGUUGAGGCUAAGCUAAGGAGCUCCGAAGUCAGCAAGGGAAGUGCUCUUCCUGAUGCGAAGAGGAGGAAGGAGAUUGUCCUUUUCGACGCCGCGCCGCCGAUAUUGAAGGAAUCUCGCCGCGGCGGCGGCAUUGUUGAGAGUGGAACAGUGCCGGAUGAAAAGCGAAAAAGUGGCGGAUUUGAUCUGUUGUUUUUGCUCAAGAAAUUGCCGAAGAGAGUAUUGGCUGCCCUCUCUAAUCUCCCGUUGGCUAUUGGCGAGAUGUUCACCAUCGCGACUCUUAUGGCUCUGGCUACUGUCAUUGAUCAAGGGGAGGCUCCUGAUUUCUAUUUCCAGAAGUUUCCUGAGGAAAAUCCUAUAUUUGGUUUUGUAACUUGGAGAUGGGUGCUUAGCCUUGGUUUUGACCACAUGUUUACAUCGCCUAUUUUCUUAGGCAUGUUGGUGCUUCUGGCAGCAUCGCUUAUGUCCUGUACAUACACAACCCAGAUCCCUAUGGUUAAAGUUGCUAGAAGAUGGUCUUUCAUCCACUCUGCUGAGGCUAUUCAUAAACUAGAGUUUUCUGAUUCUCUUCCACGUGCAUCCAUUCAGGAUGUGGGUGUUAUUUUGAUGGGUGCUGGAUAUGAGGUAUUUUUGAAAGGUCCAGCAUUGUAUGCUUUCAAGGGGAUGGCUGGUCGGUUUGCUCCCAUUGGAGUGCAUUUAGCCAUGUUAUUGAUUAUGACUGGAGCAACCCUUAGUGCUGCUGGCAGCUUUCGUGGCUCAGUGACUGUUCCUCAAGGGCUGAAUUUUGUUGUUGCAGAUGUUAUGUCUCCUGCUGGCUUUCUUUCCAAACCAACAGAAGCCUUUAAUACUGAAGUUCAUAUCAAUAAAUUCUUUAUGGAUUACUACGAGAGUGGAGAAGUUUCUCAGUUUCACAGUGAUAUCUCAUUAUUUGAUGUUAAUGGUAAGGAGCUCAUGAGGAAAACCAUUAGUGUAAAUGAUCCCUUGAGGUAUGGAGGGAUUACAAUCUACCAAACCGAUUGGGGUUUCUCAGCCCUUCAAGUAUCAAAGGAUGGCCAAGGCCCUUUCAAUUUGGCUAUGGCUCCGUUGCAGAGAAAUGGAGAUAAGAAGCUUUAUGGAACUUUCCUCCCUGUUGGAGAUACUAAUUCCUCUAGUGUCAAUGGAAUAUCAAUGCUUGCUCGGGAUCUACAGUCCAUUGCCUUAUAUGACCAAGAGGGGAAAUUUGUGGGAGUUCGACGUCCUAGCUCAAAACUUCCAAUUGAUAUUGAUGGAAUGAAAAUUGUGAUCGAAGAUGCAAUUGGUAGUACUGGCCUUGACUUGAAGACGGAUCCCGGGGUGCCUACUGUCUAUGCUGGAUUUGGUGCUCUAAUGCUCACAACCUGCAUCAGCUAUCUGUCUCAUUCACAGAUAUGGGCCUUACAAGAUGGAACCACCGUUGUUGUUGGAGGUAAAACAAACCGAGCAAAGCUUGAAUUUCCUGAUGAGAUGAAUUGUUUACUUGAUAAAGUACCAGAGCUGGUGGAUGCUGAUGAGAAGAAGAAUAAUUGAUGGUGAGGUAACUGGAAUAUCUUCUUCUCUGCUUCUCAGUAUGAUUGGAUGAACUCCCAAGUUUUAGAAUAUUGUGAAAAAGUUUCACAGCAGAUUAGAGUUGCUCAGAAUUCGGCUUCAAUCAAUUGUUCGAUGAUCCAGAAAAUUUAUCGAGACGUACGAGAAAUUAUUAUGUGCAGACGCCGAACGUAGUUUACCAUCCGGAGACUAAUCAGAAUGCAUCACGUCAGCAGUACUGAGCCGGGCACUGAGCAGUACCGAGCCGCGGUACCGAGCAAUAUCGAGCCAAGUACCGAGCAGGAGGUGACGUGACACAUUCUGGUUGAUCUCUGAACGGCGUUCAGCGUCGCAUAGAGUAAUUUCUCUAGAUGCACACACUACCAUCCAUAUUAGAAGGAUAAGAGCCAUUUUCUUAACUCAUUCUGUACUAUUCAUCACAUCUUUGAAGGUUGAAAAGUAAACUAUAUGUUAAAUUUUUAAUAUUACAUGGGACUUUAAAAAGGAUUGGAAAAGAGAAA